RNAcentral lists this unclassified non-coding RNA (295 nucleotides) under air metagenome. RNAcentral's name for it is "partial contains small subunit ribosomal RNA, internal transcribed spacer 1, and 5.8S ribosomal RNA". The stretch from base 1 to 46 matches the Rfam family "Eukaryotic small subunit ribosomal RNA", at positions 1786 to 1831 of the family's 1831-position model. The record is from RNAcentral.
AAGUCGUAACAAGGUUUCCGUAGGUGAACCUGCGGAAGGAUCAUUAUCGAGUUUUUGACAUGGGUUUGAUGCUGGCCUCCUCAGGGGGGGGGUAAUGUGCUCAACCCUACUCAAUCCACAAACCCAACACCUGUGCACUCUUUAGAGUUGUGACCCCCCUUACUCCCCUGUUUACGGGGUUGAGUUUGGGGGUCAUAGCUUUAUUACAUUACAAACUCUCUUCUUGUACACGAAUGUAAUCCCGCCUUUUUAAUGGCAUUUAAUACAACUUUCAACAACGGAUCUCUUGGCUCUC